Molecule: ribosomal RNA, 253 nt
Filed under: uncultured bacterium
Lineage: Bacteria
Description: partial 16S ribosomal RNA
Rfam family: Bacterial small subunit ribosomal RNA
Source: RNAcentral
UACGUAGGGGGCGAGCGUUGUCCGGAAUCAUUGGGCGUAAAGCGCGUGUAGGCGGCCAGAAAAGUCCGCUGUGAAAACUCGAGGCUCAACUUCGAGCUGUCGGUGGAAACUUUCUGGCUAGAGUCCGGAAGAGGAGAAUGGAAUUCCUGGUGUAGCGGUGAAAUGCGCAGAUAUCAGGAAGAACACCCGUGGCGAAGGCGGUUCUCUGGGACGGUACUGACGCUGAGACGCGAAAGCGUGGGGAGCGAACAGG